Molecule: ribosomal RNA, 463 nt
Filed under: uncultured bacterium
Lineage: Bacteria
Description: bacterial SSU rRNA
Rfam family: Bacterial small subunit ribosomal RNA
Source: RNAcentral
ACUCNUACGGGAGGCAGCAGUGAGGAAUAUUGGUCAAUGGGCGCAAGCNUGAACCAGCCAUCNCGCGNGAAGGAAGACGGCCCUAUGGGUUGUAAANUUCUUUUGUACAUGAAGAAAGGGACCUACGGGUAGGUUCGUGACGGUAAUGUACGAAUAAGCAUNGGCUAANUCCGUGCCAGCAGCCGCGGUAAUACGGAGGAUGCGAGCGUUAUCCGGAUUCAUUGGGUUUAAAGGGUACGUAGGUGGCCCGGUAAGUCAGUGGUGAAAACCUGCCGCUUAACGGUAGGCGUGCCAUUGAUACUGUCGGGCUUGAGUGCAGUUGAGGCAGGCGGAAUGUGUAGUGUAGCGGUGAAAUGCAUAGAUAUUACACAGAACUCCGAUUGNGAAGGCAGCUUGCUAAAGUGCAACUGACGCUGAUGUACGAAAGCGUGGGUAGCGUACAGGAUUAGAUACCCUGGUAGUC